CGGAGGGUGCGAGCGUUAAUCGGAAUUACUGGGCGUAAAGGGUGCGUAGGUGGUUGUAUAAGUUAACUGUGAAAGACCUGGGCUCAACCUGGGCGGGUCAGUUAAGACUGUAUAGCUAGAGUAUAGGAGAGGGUAGUGGAAUUUCCGGUGUAGCGGUGAAAUGCGUAGAGAUCGGAAGGAACAUCGGUGGCGAAGGCGGCUACCUGGCCUGAUACUGACACUGAGGCACGAAAGCGUGGGUAGCAAACAGGAUUAGAUACCCUGGUAGUCCACGCUGUAAACGAUGUCAACUAGCUGUUGGCCUUAUAGAAGGGGUUAGUGGCGCAGCAAACGCGAUAAGUUGACCGCCUGGGGAGUACGGUCGCAAGAUUA
RNAcentral lists this ribosomal RNA (372 nucleotides) under uncultured organism. RNAcentral describes it as "bacterial SSU rRNA". It matches the Rfam family "Bacterial small subunit ribosomal RNA", at positions 526 to 896 of the family's 1533-position model. The record is from RNAcentral.